AUUGAACGCUGGCGGCAGGCCUAACACAUGCAAGUCGAACGAGUGGCGGACGGGUGAGUAAUGUCUGGGAACCUGCCCGAUGGAGGGGGAUAACUACUGGAAAAGGUAGCUAAUACCGCAUACCAUCGGAUGUGCCCAGAUGGGAUUAGCUAGUAGGUGGGGUAACGGCUCACCUAGGCGACGAUCCCUAGCUGGUCUGAGCGGAUGCCCAGCCACACUGGAACUUAGACACGGUCCAGACUACUACGGGAGGCAGCAGUGGGGAAUAUUGCACAAUGGGGGAAAGCCUGAUGCAGCCAUGCCGCGUGUAUUAAGAAGGCCUUCGGGUUGUAAAGUACUUUCAGCGGGGAGGCGUUACCCGCAGAAGAAGCACCGGCUAACUCCGUGCCAGCAGCCGCGGUAAUAC
Molecule: ribosomal RNA, 406 nt
Filed under: uncultured bacterium
Lineage: Bacteria
Description: partial 16S ribosomal RNA
Rfam family: Bacterial small subunit ribosomal RNA
Source: RNAcentral